Molecule: transfer RNA, 83 nt
Filed under: Phyllostachys sulphurea
Lineage: Eukaryota; Viridiplantae; Streptophyta; Magnoliopsida; Poales; Poaceae
Description: tRNA-Lys
Source: RNAcentral
UUUUAUCUGGGUUGCUAACUCAAUGGUAGAGUACUCGGCCGGGUUCGAGUCCCGGGCAACCCAUAUGGAAAAUAGAAAAGAGU